This is a non-coding RNA of Ceratotherium simum simum (southern white rhinoceros), 396 nucleotides long. Lineage: Eukaryota; Metazoa; Chordata; Mammalia; Perissodactyla; Rhinocerotidae. The record is from RefSeq and is a predicted model, not a curated record.
UUUCCCAGGUGUUUGUCUCCACCAGCUUCUGGACAUCAGGGUUGGCAACUGAGCGGCUAUUCAUCUCUCCCUGCCUGUUUGUAGGGCUGCCCCAGAAUGAGGCCACUGGGGCAUUGCAGGACAGGUGUCCUUGGUGGGACUCAAAGUGUGAUGAAGUGGGGAAGAACAAGACCUUGGUCAUCUUCCACCAGGGGAGAAAGGAAAUGCAACAGCUUGCAGGGCCGAGGCCUGAGUUGGGAGAUGCCAAACAGGAGUUACCUGGGGCUGAACUCAUGGCAACCGUGCCCAGUGGGAUUCUGGUCAAGUCAGAUCGGUCUUCUGGAAGUUCUGCUGACAGGGUGGAGGCCAGAGUGAGAGGGUGCUUGGUCAGAGUAGCCAGGGAAACAGUGGAGACAU